UCCCUGGUGGUCCAGUGGUUAAGACCCUGCACUUUGAAUGCACAGGAUGUGGGUUUGAUCCCUGACUGGGGAA
RNAcentral lists this transfer RNA (73 nucleotides) under Ovis aries (sheep). It matches the Rfam family "tRNA". Rfam says of the family: Transfer RNA (tRNA) molecules are approximately 80 nucleotides in length. Their secondary structure includes four short double-helical elements and three loops (D, anti-codon, and T loops). The record is from Rfam by way of RNAcentral. Lineage: Eukaryota; Metazoa; Chordata; Mammalia; Artiodactyla; Bovidae.